UAGGGUGUUCAAAUCAACGAUCCACACUGUUAAAACUGAUUUAGGGUAUUUAAAGUUUUUAGAAAUAAAAUUUUAUAUUUUUUCGACAAAGUUUAUUUUAUGAUCAAACUAUUUCAAAAUUGUCAAUUUUCAAUGGCUACUAUGGCGAGUUUGGAGUUUAACGGUGUAGAAGAAUCAAAAUUUCUUCAAAUUUUGAUAUAAAAUACUUUAAACUA
RNAcentral lists this long non-coding RNA (215 nucleotides) under Ananas comosus (pineapple). RNAcentral's name for it is "long non-coding RNA (ACOM_LNC021504)". The record is from RNAcentral. Lineage: Eukaryota; Viridiplantae; Streptophyta; Magnoliopsida; Poales; Bromeliaceae.